GACGAACGCUGGCGGCGUGCUUAACACAUGCAAGUCGAACGGAAAGGCCCUGCUUUUGUGGGGUGCUCGAGUGGCGAACGGGUGAGUAACACGUGAGUAACCUGCCCUUGACUUUGGGAUAACUUCAGGAAACUGGGGCUAAUACCGGAUAGGAGCUCCUGCUGCAUGGUGGGGGUUGGAAAGUUUCGGCGGUUGGGGAUGGACUCGCGGCUUAUCAGCUUGUUGGUGGGGUAGUGGCUUACCAAGGCUUUGACGGGUAGCCGGCCUGGGAGGGUGACCGGCCACAUUGGGACUGAGAUACGGCCCAGACUCCUACGGGAGGCAGCAGUGGGGAAUAUUGCACAAUGGGCGGAAGCCUGAUGCAGCGACGCCGCGUGCGGGAUGAAGGCCUUCGGGUUGUAAACCGCUUUCGCCUGUGACGAAGCGUGAGUGACGGUAAUGGGUAAAGAAGCACCGGCUAACUACGUG
Molecule: ribosomal RNA, 468 nt
Filed under: uncultured bacterium
Lineage: Bacteria
Description: partial 16S ribosomal RNA
Rfam family: Bacterial small subunit ribosomal RNA
Source: RNAcentral